Molecule: long non-coding RNA, 862 nt
Filed under: Chrysolophus pictus (golden pheasant)
Lineage: Eukaryota; Metazoa; Chordata; Aves; Galliformes; Phasianidae
Description: lncRNA (ENSCPIG00010005477.1)
Source: RNAcentral
GCUUGUAUUUUUUUCCACUCUAAUCACGCUACUUGUUUUUAAACAAAAGCUUACAGAAAAUCCAUUCAAUUCACAGGAGAGCUUUGAAACUGUAAUGCUUAUGUUCCUAUAAAACAUUUGUUAUAUUAUUGCAAUUCAUCUCCUGUUAUACAGGAAACACAGCAAAUGAAAACAUUUCUGAAAUGCCUAUUGCUCACGCUUGAUUUCUGGAGGGGGAAGAAGAAAAGUAAAUUGCUCAUGCAGAACAGAGACUCUCCUUUCAUUUUCUUGUUCUUUCCUAAGCAGCGCACAGAGACUGCUCGGCUGUGAGGCUUAACAGAUGUGGCGGAACUGAAGCAUGGAAAGUCUCUCCAUGGGAGAAAUGUAUCGGCUAUCUUGAGACAUGAGAUGCCAACAGCUAUGAACCUCACUCCUCAUCUGAUACCUGCCAUGGGAAAAGCAUGUGAAAGCAGAUUGAAGUUUUUAAGAGGUAGAGUGAGUUCUUUUAACUCCACUGCUAUGUAUAAACAUAUAUUCAGGGAGCAGUAGAAGAAAGAAUAGAAAAAACAACUGCUAGAGAAAACGAAUGGGAAGAAAAGUGGACGAUGCCUGCUUUGAAUAGGCUCACUGCAAAGCCCAUUUACAGCAAAGGAGACUUUACAUCAAGUAUAACACAGGUCAGGCUGGGUACGUAUGUUGUAACUGAGCAAAAUUCUCAUCUUCCCUCCUCCUUUCAUUCUUCAGUCUCUCCAUGUUUUAGACUGAACACUGUUUACUUCACUUUGUGUCCGUUCUGUCUCCUCCUCCUCAGUAGAGCUGAGGUUCAAGCUGAACUUUAACGAGUAAAAUUUGACUGCGUAAAUAUAUUAAAUACAAUAAGUGC